RNAcentral lists this unclassified non-coding RNA (1373 nucleotides) under Hevea brasiliensis (rubber tree). The record is from RNAcentral. Lineage: Eukaryota; Viridiplantae; Streptophyta; Magnoliopsida; Malpighiales; Euphorbiaceae.
CCUGAUGAACAAACAUUGACCUAUGAUUUAAGAAAACUGGAAAAAAGCAGAGAAAAAAGAAAAGAGUCCAGAGCAACAAUGUAAUCAUCCAACCCAUGUCACAUUUUGUUAAUAAUGCAUGUAUAACAGAGAACAUUUGAAUGAAAAGAAGAGUAACAGCAUGUCAUACAUCCCAGAUCAAACAAGCAAUAGACGAAUUAACUGUUAUUAAUGGAUGACAAUUGAUAAAACUAAUUGACCAAUUUCAUACACGUGUUAAAGAGACUAUGCCAAACAAAUAUAACAACCUAAACAUUAUAUAGAUUUUGAUUUUGCUAAUGAAAAUAUAUGCGCUAAUAAAAAGGUACACUUGUUAGAUAUAUGAUUUGCAGAGUAAAUAAAACAAGAGAAGACUAUCGCUUUUCAAUUUUUUUCCCCAAUCAAUAAUUGCUUUUUGCUGGCAAAAUAAUAAUAACAAGAGGGAGAACAAAGCAGGAGAGGGGAGGGGGAGGGAAGCUAAUCAAACGGAUCAUUAGUUUUAAGCUUUUAGCAAAACCAUUAACAUGUAAACAAACAUUGCCAAAGCAAUAAUAAACAAAAGAACUAUGAAAGUCCUUUUAGAUCAGAGAUCUUACAGAUAUUAAUAUAAAGGCACUAUUAUGCAUUUGAUUUGUGAUCAACAUACAGCAAGCAAUAUUGAUAUUUAUACCCAAUAACAAAAGCAAGCGUUGAACUGAUGAUUCCGAUAAAAAAUAUCAACCAAUCUAGUGAAACAGUAUAAAAUAUGCACAUAUACAAUAUCAUAUCUAGUGAACGGUUAAGACAAUUUACAUCAAAUAAAUUAUUAACUUUCAACAAAUCUAAGCUAAUAAUGACUUUAGCUUCAACCAAACCCACAAAUCAUAAAACUCUAUAAACACAAACCAAAAUCCCUAGAAAUUCCAAACCUAAAGCCAAAACCCAAUGUUGCAUCGACUAAUCCAAACAAUAUGUAGCUAAAACACACGUACAAAAAUAUCUCAAAACCGAAAGAAAAGACGAUUCAGAGAUCUGAAACGAUUUCGUAACAAAUCAGAGUUCCAAUCGAGCCAAAACAGUUUCAAUCGGAAGACGAACGCUACAAAACUCGAAGAUAUACCACCAAACAAACGAAGAAGAUAACCAACAAAACACAACAAGAAACAACAAUCGAUGAAAAUAAAAUCAAUUAUCGAUUAAAGAUUCAGAGAACUUUUACCUUAUAAUGAAGAAAAUAGAGGGGCUAGAGAUGGAUGGGUCUCUAUUGUAAACGUCCGCGUGAGAGAUUGUGGGAUGAAUUGGGGGAGAGCAAGGCUUUUAUAUACGCCAAGGAGGUAGAGAGAGAGUGUAGGUUUCUAGGGCAAACUCAGCCUCCU